Molecule: ribosomal RNA, 864 nt
Filed under: uncultured Streptococcus sp.
Lineage: Bacteria; Bacillati; Bacillota; Bacilli; Lactobacillales; Streptococcaceae
Description: bacterial SSU rRNA
Rfam family: Bacterial small subunit ribosomal RNA
Source: RNAcentral
AGGAGGAGCUUGCUUCUCUGGAUGAGUUGCGAACGGGUGAGUAACGCGUAGGUAACCUGCCUGGUAGCGGGGGAUAACUAUUGGAAACGAUAGCUAAUACCGCAUAAUAGUAGAUGUUGCAUGACAUUUGCUUAAAAGGUGCAAUUGCAUCACUACCAGAUGGACCUGCGUUGUAUUAGCUAGUUGGUGAGGUAACGGCUCACCAAGGCGACGAUACAUAGCCGACCUGAGAGGGUGAUCGGCCACACUGGGACUGAGACACGGCCCAGACUCCUACGGGAGGCAGCAGUAGGGAAUCUUCGGCAAUGGACGGAAGUCUGACCGAGCAACGCCGCGUGAGUGAAGAAGGUUUUCGGAUCGUAAAGCUCUGUUGUAAGAGAAGAACGAGUGUGAGAGUGGAAAGUUCACACUGUGACGGUAUCUUACCAGAAAGGGACGGCUAACUACGUGCCAGCAGCCGCGGUAAUACGUAGGUCCCGAGCGUUGUCCGGAUUUAUUGGGCGUAAAGCGAGCGCAGGCGGUUAGAUAAGUCUGAAGUUAAAGGCUGUGGCUUAACCAUAGUACGCUUUGGAAACUGUUUAACUUGAGUGCAAGAGGGGAGAGUGGAAUUCCAUGUGUAGCGGUGAAAUGCGUAGAUAUAUGGAGGAACACCGGUGGCGAAAGCGGCUCUCUGGCUUGUAACUGACGCUGAGGCUCGAAAGCGUGGGGAGCAAACAGGAUUAGAUACCCCUGGUAGUCCACGCCGUAAACGAUGAGUGCUAGGUGUUAGACCCUUUCCGGGGUUUAGUGCCGCAGCUAACGCAUUAAGCACUCCGCCCUGGGGAGUACGACCCGCAAGGUUGAAACUCAAAGGAAUUGACGGGG